Long non-coding RNA from Rosa chinensis, 1520 nucleotides. RefSeq lists it as uncharacterized. NCBI's taxonomy places the organism in Eukaryota, Viridiplantae, Streptophyta, Magnoliopsida, Rosales, Rosaceae. The record is from RefSeq and is a predicted model, not a curated record. The transcript has 4 exons.
AACGAACCAGUAGAGUAGAAACGAAGAACCGACUCUGAUAUGAUUACUACUCUCAGAAGUUACAGAGCUUUCUCUACUCGGACCCAAAUUUUCCUAUACCCUAAACCCAGUCGCUCCCCAAAAUCGUAGCUUCCCUCCAAAACCCGCAUUGCAAAACCCUAAUUCGUCGUUAUCGUCGGCAAUGACGAAGGUGUACGGAACAGGCGCGUACGAUCUCAAGCGCCACCAUGUUGCCGAGUACCCGGUGGAGCUGAACCACCAGCUCGGAGACAAGCCGGUGGAGGCUAAACCCGGUGCGGCGCUGCCGAGCUCGAUAACGCUGUCGGAGAUUGAGAGGGACCAGCUCACUAUGACUGCCGCUGCCAAUUGGUCCAAAGCCGGCGGGCAGGUGAAGAAUGGUUUGUGUACUUGAGGCCACUUGUUGCUGAUGUUGCUGUUGUUCCGAAAUGCCACUUGAGUGCUUUGUAUAUACAUGAAAAGAGGAAGCUCUUUACCCAACUUGUUGACUUGCUGCACUUUUAUGAAGGAUUUGAGAUUAAUGAUAAUGUUGGGAAACAAUUGACGGAUGAUGAAGUGCUCCAAUCUCAUUAUGAUCGCGUACAAUCUUUUCAGCUGCUUGCUUUUAAAAAAAUUCCUAAGUUGCAACAGCUUGCAUUGGUUCAAUUGACAACCGAAAUGAUCUCUGUGAAAGAUUGGCUGUACUUUCCCCUGAAGAAUUGAAGGAUUUGGUUUGUUCAAAGAUUCUAAUGAAAGUCAAGAAAGCAAACUUCAACUAAUGAAUCGAAGAAAACAUUGAAUACAAUACAGAGCAUUGUAUGAAAGUAAAACUGAAAACAGAGAGACGGGUGAGAGAAAAGGUGAAGCGGAAGUGAUAUGGUGGACGCGACUUAAGGAGGGGAGAAAAAGAGAUAAAAACAAGGACAGGAAGAGAGGGGUUAGGUGUACAAGUAAGUAUAUGAUGCUUAGCCUUAUGAUGGCAGGAAAGCUGAAGCCAACUGUUAUGCAACAAUCAGUAUUUGGGGGCCUUCUUCUGGAUUAUCACAAGUUCAUAGUGGUAUGGACAAUAUAAGCUUCUUCUUCCCAAAUGCGAAAAAACUAUUUCACUCAUUGCAGCGAACCAGUACCAAUUUAAUUUCUUUAUAUCUCGCAUGUAGAGCUAAUGAACUUUAAUGUUUCCAUAUUAUGCUGGACAUAAAUGAUCUUUCUGUUAGUUGCUAAUCAAAAAUCGCAGUUUUUUCACUGAAGAAGUUCUGUUAAAUCACCAGAUCACAUUGGAUCAUUCAUUUCUGAAUUAUUAUAAUAUGUUGCUAUGGUUGAUUUCCUGUCAUACAAUGAUCUUUACAAAAUUCUAUGAAAUUUAAAAGACAUGUAUGGAAUAUGACAAAUGAAGGGGAUUUUAGUAGAUCAAAAUGGCUGGUGUUCAUGUUAUGAGCUGUCUCUUCUCUGAGAACUGAUAUGUAUUCGCUUCCAUUUUUCAUAUUUAAUUACUUUUCACUGAGGAGAAACAUGGUCUGACUCUG